Molecule: ribosomal RNA, 440 nt
Filed under: uncultured bacterium
Lineage: Bacteria
Description: partial 16S ribosomal RNA
Rfam family: Bacterial small subunit ribosomal RNA
Source: RNAcentral
CCUACGGGAUGCAGCAGUGGGGAAUAUUGCACAAUGGGGGAAACCCUGAUGCAGCAACGCCGCGUGAGUGAUGACGGCCUUCGGGUUGUAAAGCUCUGUCUUCAGGGACGAUAAUGACGGUACCUGAGGAGGAAGCUACGGCUAACUACGUGACAGCAGCCGCGGUAAUACGUAGGUGGCGAGCGUUGUCCGGAUUUACUGGGCGUAAAGGGGGCGGAGGCGGACUUUUAAGUGAGAUGUGAAAUACUCGGGCUAAAAUUGAGUGCUGAAGUUCAAACGGGGAGUAUAGAGUGCAGGAGAGGAGAAUGGAAUUCCUAGUGUAGCGGUGAAAUGCGUAGAGAUUAGGAAGAACACCAGUGGCGAAGGCGAUUCUCUGGACUGUAACUGACGCUGAGGCUCGAAAGCGUGGGGAGCAAACAGGAUUAGAUACCCGUGUAGUC